UACGUAGGGGGCAAGCGUUGUCCGGAAUUACUGGGCGUAAAGAGCUCGUAGGCGGUUUGUCGCGUCGAAUGUGAAAACCCGGGGCUCAACCCCGGGCCUGCAUUCGAUACGGGCAGACUAGAGUUCGGUAGGGGAGUCUGGAAUUCCUGGUGUAGCGGUGAAAUGCGCAGAUAUCAGGAGGAACACCGGUGGCGAAGGCGGGACUCUGGGCCGAUAUUGACGCUGAGGAGCGAAAGCGUGGGGAGCAAACGGG
This 253-nucleotide ribosomal RNA is filed under the name uncultured bacterium. RNAcentral describes it as "partial 16S ribosomal RNA". It matches the Rfam family "Bacterial small subunit ribosomal RNA", at positions 524 to 776 of the family's 1533-position model. The record is from RNAcentral.